CCUUGCUCUUUGCUUUUUCGACAUUUCAGUUUAAAAUGUUUGGUAAAGUCAGUAGAGAUCAUUAGACAAAAAUAUUGUUUUAAUAUUGUUUUGGUUAAUUUUUACAUUUUGUGCAUAUUUUUGCGGGAGAGGAUGGUAUGCAACCGAAUAAAUGAUUUUUCAAAGUUUAAUUUUUUGUUUUUUGGUAUUGUUUUUGAUAUUGUUCAGGUUGUAUUGUUGUAUAUAGAUCUGUGCUUACUGUUGCAAGCCUUACUUUUCGACAUUUCAAAUUAAAAUAUUGAAGGUUUUCAACAUAAUCACAUAAUAAGAUGUGUUGUGACUGUCAAUGUUGUAACUUUCUACUAACUAGAUUUUACACCUUGGACGCUGUUGUUUUUCAUAUUUUCUUUUCUCAGAGUUUGUUCUUUUACGCAUGUGCAUUUUUUAAAUUGUUAUCUUUAAGAAUACUUCUGCGUCAAACUUGCGAACGCAGAAUGAUAUUUAAAAAUCCUUUUUUGUUAAAACAUCGAGGGUAGAGAAUUUUAAUUUGGAAAGUACUUUUUAAAGCCUAUAUAUAAUGUGUUUGUCAAUUGUAUUCUUAGUAAGUAUCACAGAAGACGUGUUGAAUGCGUGGAAAAGCGAGGAGGAUGAAGUGGUAACAAAACAGCCUUCAAAUGCGAAAGAUAUUGAUUGGACUCAGUGCUACUAUCGAAAGCGAAAGAAAAGCGCCUGUCAAUGAUGAGUGAAAAGCUAUCGAGCUUGCCAAAUUUCUAAAGCAGAAAGGAUUGAUAUCACUCUCAAAAGUCUUGAAAAGAAGCAUAACAUUCUUGCACGUUGGACCGUUAGCACUCCUGAAUACCCAUUCGAACAUAAAAACGCCUUGAAAUUAUCACAAGAUGAAGCCAUAUGCCAACUAUACCACGGUGUAUCAGAACAAAUGAUGUUGUUAGUAUUAGAAAAGCGUUUCGGAGAUACGAAUGAAAUAUUCAAUUGUCGUUAGUUCGCAUUACCAUAAUUUGAUGACUUAUUACUGACUUAACCUUCCAUUGGUAAUCGUUCAAAUUUGAUACGAGAUGGAUCUGCAAUUGCUAAUCGUCUCAGCGCCCAGAUAAAUAAAGUGUGUAGAGAAGUAAAGAAUCAGCUGGACGGAUUAAAUGACACUCGGAAGGAGUUACACGAGAGCUAUUCUUACCUCAAUACAGUGAAAUAUUGGAUCAAGCUAGGGCCCGACCUCUAACGGCGAAAACUUGUACAUAUAUUUUAUUUUCGGACGGUCUCUAUCUAUCAUAUAUCCAGAGCUCGGGUAAUUUACCCUUGCCAAUAAAAAUAAUAAAAAAAAAGAUCAAGUGUAGUAUCUGUUCUUAUCAGUUUAAUAUCUGGUAGGCCAUUCCCUGAAUGGUCAGUAUAUUAAUCUGAUUUUUGGCCUUGAGUCAUGGAGGUGGAUUCA
Hydractinia symbiolongicarpus is the source of this 1426-nucleotide long non-coding RNA. RefSeq lists it as uncharacterized. Lineage: Eukaryota; Metazoa; Cnidaria; Hydrozoa; Anthoathecata; Hydractiniidae. The transcript is spliced from 4 exons. The record is from RefSeq and is a predicted model, not a curated record.